This 411-nucleotide ribosomal RNA is filed under the name uncultured bacterium. RNAcentral describes it as "bacterial SSU rRNA". It matches the Rfam family "Bacterial small subunit ribosomal RNA", at positions 370 to 772 of the family's 1533-position model. The record is from RNAcentral.
AAUGGGCGAAAGCCUGAUCCAGCCACGCCGCGUGCGUGAUGAAGGCCUUCGGGUCGUAAAGCGCUGUGGGGAGGAAAGAACAAGCUUCGGUCAAAUAGGCCGAGGCCCUGACGGUACCUCCUUAGCAAGCACCGGCUAACUCCGUGCCUGCAGCCGCGGUAAUACGGAGGGUGCAAACGUUGCUCGGAAUCAUUGGGCGUAAAGCGCGUGUAGGCGGCAUGGGCAGUCGGGUGUGAAAGGCCUGGGCUUAACCCAGGAAGUGCAUCCGAUACUGCCACGCUUGAGUACAGGAGAGGGUAGCGGAAUUCCCGGUGUAGAGGUGAAAUUCGUAGAUAUCGGGAGGAACACCAGUGGCGAAGGCGGCUACCUGGACUGAUACUGACGCUGAGACGCGAAAGCGUGGGGAGCAAA